RNAcentral lists this transfer RNA (72 nucleotides) under Phrynosoma platyrhinos (Desert horned lizard). RNAcentral's name for it is "tRNA-OTHER". Lineage: Eukaryota; Metazoa; Chordata; Lepidosauria; Squamata; Phrynosomatidae. The record is from RNAcentral.
ACCAGCCUGGUGCAGUGGUUUGAGUGUUAGACUAUGAUUUUGGAGACCAGGGUUUGAAUCCCAGCUCUGCCA